GAGGAAAAGAAACCAACCGGGAUUGCCUUAGUAACGGCGAGUGAAGCGGCAAAAGCUCAAAUUUGAAAUCUGGUACCUUCGGUGCCCGAGUUGUAAUUUGGAGAGGGCAACUUUGGGGCCGUUCCUUGUCUAUGUUCCUUGGAACAGGACGUCAUAGAGGGUGAGAAUCCCGUGUGGCGAGGAGUGCGGUUCUUUGUAAAGUGCCCUCGAAGAGUCGAGUUGUUUGGGAAUGCAGCUCUAAGUGGGUGGUAAAUUCCAUCUAAAGCUAAAUAUUGGCGAGAGACCGAUAGCGAACAAGUACAGUGAUGGAAAGAUGAAAAGAACUUUGAAAAGAGAGUGAAAAAGUACGUGAAAUUGUUGAAAGGGAAGGGCAUUUGAUCAGACAUGGUGUUUUGUGCCCUCUGCUCCUUGUGGGUAGGGGAAUCUCGCAUUUCACUGGGCCAGCAUCAGUUUUGGUGGCAGGAUAAAUCCAUAGGAAUGUAGCUUGCCUCGGUAAGUAUUAUAGCCUGUUGGGAAUACUGCCAGCUGGGACUGAGGACUGCGACGUAAGUCAAGGAUGCUGGCAUAAUGGUUAUAUGCCGCCCGUCU
This 588-nucleotide ribosomal RNA is filed under the name Saccharomyces cerevisiae (brewer's yeast). RNAcentral describes it as "partial large subunit ribosomal RNA". It matches the Rfam family "Eukaryotic large subunit ribosomal RNA", at positions 53 to 654 of the family's 3401-position model. The record is from RNAcentral. Lineage: Eukaryota; Fungi; Ascomycota; Saccharomycetes; Saccharomycetales; Saccharomycetaceae.